Molecule: unclassified non-coding RNA, 295 nt
Filed under: uncultured Agaricomycetes
Lineage: Eukaryota; Fungi; Basidiomycota; Agaricomycetes
Description: sequence contains 5.8S rRNA gene, ITS2, 28S rRNA gene
Source: RNAcentral
AACGCACCUUGCGCCCUUUGGUAUUCCGAAGGGCACGCCCGUUUGAGUGUCAUUGUAAUCUCACCUCCACGGUUUCUCAUCGUGGUCGUGGAUCUGGACGUUGUCGGCUCGUCGACCCGUCUGAAAUGUAUGAGCGUACCCUGCCGUGCAGCGUAUCUGGUGUGAUAAGCAUCUUCACCGGAGUAAUGCCUCCUUUGGCGCGUCUGUGGUGUGGGCUCUGUGCUUCCAACUGUCCUCACAGGACAAUCUUUGACGAUUUGACCUCAGAUCGGGCGGGACUACCCGCUGAACUUAA